RNAcentral lists this long non-coding RNA (717 nucleotides) under Mytilus galloprovincialis (Mediterranean mussel). Lineage: Eukaryota; Metazoa; Mollusca; Bivalvia; Mytilida; Mytilidae. The record is from RNAcentral.
AUGGGAUAUGAAUAAAUAGAGAUGUGGGGCAUACAUCAAUGAGCAAGCAACCUAAAAACCUGGAAAAAUAUCUCUAAAGUACAUACAGUUAAUAAACUUGAAGGGCGUUCACUACUCAGUUUCAAAAUAAACAAACUUUUCAUAAUCACUAGUAUAUAUUGAUAGGGGUUUAAUAAAGGAACCCAAAUAGCAAAAAAAAUAUAUAGGUCAAUGUGCUUAUUUUUUUUAGAUUUUUUAAAUUUUGGCAGGAAAAUCUCUUGAUUUUUCAUAGCUUUAUCAUUGACAAGUUUAAAUUUGUAAAAACUAAAAAAAAUAACAACGAUUUUAUAAGACUUUUACAGAUGGCUUAUAAUUAUAGAUGUAAAAAAUUUAUAAAAGAAAAAUUUAUAAAAAACAAGAAUGUGUCCAUAGUACACGGAUGCCCCACUCCCACUAUCAUUUUCUAUGUUCAGUGGACCAUGAAAUUGGGGUCAAAACUAUAAUUUGGCAUUAAAAUUAGAAAGAUCAUAUCAUGGGGAACAUGUGUAUUAAGUUUCAAGUUGAUUAGACUUCAGCUUCAUCAAAAACUACCUCGACCAAAAACUUUAACCGGACGGACGAACCGAGGCACAGACGGACGGACGAACGAACGGAGGCACAGACCAGAAAACAUAAUGCCACUCUACUAUCGUAGGUGGGGCAUAAAAAUAUGGGAGUCAAUGGGCAAAAUUUUUCAAG